Molecule: long non-coding RNA, 1745 nt
Organism: Schistocerca cancellata (South American locust)
Lineage: Eukaryota; Metazoa; Arthropoda; Insecta; Orthoptera; Acrididae
Exons: 2
Source: RefSeq, a predicted model, not a curated record
CGUCACUAGUUAGCGAAAUUUCUAGCAAUUAUUGAUUUGACUAAUUUAUGUCAGAAAUGAAUUGAUUGGAUACGGUUAAUUGAAAUAGUACAAGUAGUGGGUAUAAUUUAUGCCAUAUGCUUAAAUUCCUAUUUAGAUAAUUUGUUUGACAUCUUUUUUGACGGGACUAUAUUAACGUUACGCGGAAGAAUACUACGUGCGAAGUCAUGUUGUAGAGAACUUAUAUGCGUGAACAGUAGCUUACCGUGGCAUAGUGCAACUGAUGUUUGAGCCGUGAACAGUGUGAAGAGGUAAGUUGCUGUUAGUAAUAUGUGGGUGCUGUGGUGGAGGUGAUUCCCUGAUGAGCUUAAAAGUUCGUAACAACGAUGAAAGGUAAUGAUAUACAGGGUGAGUACAAAGUUUUGCCUUGUUUAUAAAAAAAUUAUCAAUCAUCGACGCGGUCAGUUAAGGUCACGUUAGUUGCUGGUGAAAUGGCGUCGAAGCAGGAGAAAGCGCAAUGUGUGCUUUGGUUUCACGAAACUUAAUCGCCCAGCAGUAUUCAACGUAAAGUUCGGGCUUAUUAAGGACGCAGCCCUCCUGACGUUAAAUCAAUAAACCGAAGGUGUGCAACGUUUAACGAAACAGGCAGCGUUGAAGAUCACCUUCGAAGUGGCAUGCCUCGUGAGUGAUACAACAGUUGGUAGUGUUCGGCAAUAGUUUCAACGGAGUCCCUCUAAAUUACCUUGUGUAGCAGGAUCACGUGAACUUCAAAGAUUCAUCAAAGGUGUAGGUUGCAUGCUUACAAAGUGCAAAUCGUGUAAGCCUUGCAACCGAAUGAUUUUCUGAUAUGUUGCUAAUUUGCAAUUGAAAUCCUCAACAGGAUUGAUGGCCCUAACGUUUAUUUAAAUAUGCUUUACCGAUGAAUCAACCUUUCAUGUUAGUGGGAUGGUAAAUAGGCAUAAUGUCCGUAUAUGAGGUUCCGAGUCUUCAACAUUCUACUGUAGUUACAGCUUAAAAGUGAAUGCUGCCUCAUGCAUAACAAGGUUUUUCGACCGUUUUUCUUCGCGGAAAUAUCAAUUACCGCUAACAGUUACUUCGACGUUUUGCAAUAGUUCAUUCCCACACAGAAGAAUAUCAACCAGGGAUAAUUUUCCAGCAAGAUGAAUCAAUGUUCAAAUAACACUAAACAGAAAAGCGUAUACUUCAACUGUACUAGCAAGCCUUAAUAAUAAGAAUAUGGAGUACUCCUAUAUCGCACAGUGGGCUUUGAUGGUGCGUGAUUUCUUGGAUCGGUGAAUUGGAAGGAACGGUCCAACAUCCUGGCCAUCCCGCUCUACAGGCAUUACGCCCCUUGACGACUUUUCUUGAUUUCUUUUAAAAAUCAUCAAGGACAUAGUCUUCGUCACAGCAGUUGCUGACGUCGAUGAACUAAAGGUCAGGAUAAAAGCUGCUGUGGGUACUAUGACAGAACGCAUGUUACGAAGCACCUGUCGGAACUAAUAACACUCAAACUAAUAACCGCAUCAAAUGUAAAUCAUGUCAAACGGUUUUUCUGUAAUUGUUUAAUCAGAGCAACACUUUGUGCUCAAUUUUUUUUUUUUUUUUUUUUUUUUUUUGGACAUUCCGUGGACGAUUCGAGCGAAUGAUUGGUUGAGUUGGACCACGCGACAGGAACCCACAUCGACCAUCUCAUAAUGGAGAGAUCAGCAAGGCUGUGCAAGAAAACUGGAAGCAGAGACAGUGUAAAAGGAUUGGGUUUGUUUCGG